Mauremys mutica (yellowpond turtle) is the source of this 1533-nucleotide long non-coding RNA. RefSeq lists it as uncharacterized. NCBI's taxonomy places the organism in Eukaryota, Metazoa, Chordata, Testudines, Geoemydidae. The record is from RefSeq and is a predicted model, not a curated record. The transcript has 2 exons.
CCCGUAGGCGGAGGAGGAGGAGGAAGAGCACACACUACAGGAGAGAUUCUCUACUGAGUAGGGGCUGCUUCCCAAGCUGUGUUCUCUCUCCACAGCUUCUCAGUCACUGCUUCAGCUCCAAGAACCAAUCACAAAGAUCCUGCCACACCCACCAAAAUGAAUGGGAUCAUCAUUUAUGAGCGUAUAAACUUCCAAGGUAAAUCCAAAGAAUUCAUUUCUGACAUCGCUGACUUGAAGCCUGUAGAGUGGGGCCACUGUGUCUCUUCUGUAAAGGUCGCUGGCCAACCCUGGGUGGCCUAUGAGUAUCCUAAUUAUUCAGGCAAGUUCCUGGUGUUUGAGGAAGGUGAAUACAGCUUUGUUGGUGAAGAUAUGAAUGACAAGAUCACUUCUCUCAAGCUGAUUACUGAAGACCUGAAGAAUCCCAAGAUCACCCUGUAUGAACUUGCCAACUAUGAAGGGGAAAUCAAGGUGGUAAAAGAAGCAACCAGCCUGAGCAAGGGAUCUUUCAAUGACCGAGUGUCAUCCCAUAAGGUGCAGAGCGGUGCCUGGCUAUUGUGUGACCGGGCGGAUGAAAGAGGCUUGAAUUAUGUUGCCCUGAAAGGUGAACAGCUUCCAAACUAUGAAUCGAUCAAUUUCGAUGACAAGCUUUCAUUUCUGCAUCCCCUGAGAGCCGGCUGGGGCUAGUUCCAAUGGGCUGCAGACCUUGCCAUCCUGGGGUGCCAUCGAUCAGAGGCCCCCACAGGAAGGGGCAGAGUUAGAGCUCUGCCCAUGCUUGCACUUCAUUGCUCCACACACCACAGAAUCAGUGAAUUUGGGAAAGCGCAGCUCAUCCUGUGCAGUGCUUCAUAGCCUGGUAUCCUGCUGUUUGUCCCCCAAGGCCAUGCCAGAACUUCCUCCCAGACCUCACCCUCCCAGUCUCCUUCACGCUUUCCCUGAUUGGCAGCUUCCUCUGGGGUGUUCCCUUCCCUCCCAGACUCUUCACACAGCUCUAACUAGGAGGCUUAUUCAGGGAUCUGCUGGCCUCUGUCUGCCAUUUAUUUUCCUUUCAAUCCCUUCUCCAGUGUGAGAUCUCCAAUUUCUACAGCUUCAUGUGGGGUGGGAAAGGGAAUGGGGAGGGGAUCAUGUUCUUCGUGGAGAUAGGAACUUCCAGCAUCUCCCAGUAUCAGCAGGGGAUAAAUGAGCCACCCACCAACAGGGAAAAAAUCAUGGUGUGCCACUGGCCAAGAGAUCUACUCACACAGUGCUGGUCAUCUGUGCCCUAAAGUGCCAUCUCAAGGUUGAUCGAGUUGAUUACUAUCUAUGAUCAGAGAAGAAGAACCGAGCAUGAAGUGCACCAGAACACAUUGUGCAUAGCACCAGCCCAGGAGUAAGCUCCAGCAUGGAGGUGGCUCCACAAACCCACUGUGUUUCCUCCCUCUUCCAUCCCAACAUGCUCAUGUCGGCUUCCAAGAAAGGGUUGAAGGGUUUCCAGUCUGCUAGCUUCUCUGAGUGAUUUAUUGUUAACCUGCUCCAAUAAAGUGAUUUGCAGUGAAA